Molecule: ribosomal RNA, 2285 nt
Filed under: Salmonella enterica subsp. enterica serovar Enteritidis
Lineage: Bacteria; Pseudomonadati; Pseudomonadota; Gammaproteobacteria; Enterobacterales; Enterobacteriaceae
Description: partial 23S ribosomal RNA
Rfam family: Bacterial large subunit ribosomal RNA
Source: RNAcentral
UGGGGAAACCCAGUGUGACUCGUCACACUAUCAUUAACUGAAUCCAUAGGUUAAUGAGGCGAACCGGGGGAACUGAAACAUCUAAGUACCCCGAGGAAAAGAAAUCAACCGAGAUUCCCCCAGUAGCGGCGAGCGAACGGGGAGGAGCCCAGAGCCUGAAUCAGCAUGUGUGUUAGUGGAAGCGUCUGGAAAGGCGCGCGAUACAGGGUGACAGCCCCGUACACAAAAGCGCAUGUGCUGUGAGCUCGAUGAGUAGGGCGGGACACGUGGUAUCCUGUCUGAAUAUGGGGGGACCAUCCUCCAAGGCUAAAUACUCCUGACUGACCGAUAGUGAACCAGUACCGUGAGGGAAAGGCGAAAAGAACCCCGGCGAGGGGAGUGAAAAAGAACCUGAAACCGUGUACGUACAAGCAGUGGGAGCCCCACCACCAAAGCAUUUGCUGUACCGCGUUGACGGAGCGAAGCGACGUCAAACCGAUAAAACAGCAGUGUAAAGUGAGCCGCAGGGCGCUUUGCGCGACAGCGCAAAGGCAGGCGGUUUCGCGUAGCGAAAGCGAAUGCUUUGGGGUGGGGUGACUGCGUACCUUUUGUAUAAUGGGUCAGCGACUUAUAUUCUGUAGCAAGGUUAACCGAAUAGGGGAGCCGGAGGGAAACCGAGUCUUAAUUGGGCGUUAAGUUGCAGGGUAUAGACCCGAAACCCGGUGAUCUAGCCAUGGGCAGGUUGAAGGUUGGGUAACACUAACUGGAGGACCGAACCGACUAAUGUUGAAAAAUUAGCGGAUGACCUGUGGCUGGGGGUGAAAGGCCAAUCAAACCGGGAGAUAGCUGGUUCUCCCCGAAAGCUAUUUAGGUAGCGCCUCGUGAAUUCAUCUCCGGGGGUAGAGCACUGUUUCGGCUAGGGGGCCAUCCCGGCUUACCAACCCGAUGCAAACUGCGAAUACCGGAGAAUGUUAUCACGGGAGACACACGGCGGGUGCUAACGUCCGUCGUGAAGAGGGAAACAACCCAGACCGCCAGCUAAGGUCCCAAAGUCAUGGUUAAGUGGGAAACGAUGUGGGAAGGCCCAGACAGCCAGGAUGUUGGCUUAGAAGCAGCCAUCAUUUAAAGAAAGCGUAAUAGCUCACUGGUCGAGUCGGCCUGCGCGGAAGAUGUAACGGGGCUAAACCAUGCACCGAAGCUGCGGCAGCGACACUGUGUGUUGUUGGGUAGGGGAGCGUUCUGUAAGCCUGUGAAGGUGUGUCGUGAGGCAUGCUGGAGGUAUCAGAAGUGCGAAUGCUGACAUAAGUAACGAUAAAGCGGGUGAAAAGCCCGCUCGCCGGAAGACCAAGGGUUCCUGUCCAACGUUAAUCGGGGCAGGGUGAGUCGACCCCUAAGGCGAGGCCGAAAGGCGUAGUCGAUGGGAAACGGGUUAAUAUUCCCGUACUUGGUGUUACUGCGAAGGGGGGACGGAGAAGGCUAUGUUGGCCGGGCGACGGUUGUCCCGGUUUAAGCGUGUAGGUGUGUGUUCCAGGUAAAUCCGGUUCACUUUAACACUGAGGCGUGACGACGAGGCACUACGGUGCUGAAGCAACAAAUGCCCUGCUUCCAGGAAAAGCCUCUAAGCAUCAGGUAACAUCAAAUCGUACCCCAAACCGACACAGGUGGUCAGGUAGAGAAUACCAAGGCGCUUGAGAGAACUCGGGUGAAGGAACUAGGCAAAAUGGUGCCGUAACUUCGGGAGAAGGCACGCUGACACGUAGGUGAAGUGAUUUACUCAUGGAGCUGAAGUCAGUCGAAGAUACCAGCUGGCUGCAACUGUUUAUUAAAAACACAGCACUGUGCAAACACGAAAGUGGACGUAUACGGUGUGACGCCUGCCCGGUGCCGGAAGGUUAAUUGAUGGGGUCAGCGCAAGCGAAGCUCCUGAUCGAAGCCCCGGUAAACGGCGGCCGUAACUAUAACGGUCCUAAGGUAGCGAAAUUCCUUGUCGGGUAAGUUCCGACCUGCACGAAUGGCGUAAUGAUGGCCAGGCUGUCUCCACCCGAGACUCAGUGAAAUUGAACUCGCUGUGAAGAUGCAGUGUACCCGCGGCAAGACGGAAAGACCCCGUGAACCUUUACUAUAGCUUGACACUGAACAUUGAGCCUUGAUGUGUAGGAUAGGUGGGAGGCUUUGAAGUGUGGACGCCAGUCUGCAUGGAGCCGACCUUGAAAUACCACCCUUUAAUGUUUGAUGUUCUAACGUGGACCCGUUACCCGGGUUGCGGACAGUGUCUGGUGGGUAGUUUGACUGGGGCGGUCUCCUCC